CUUAUACGUCGAAUUUUGGUCGCGUCGAAUGCAAUUAAGUUAAGACAACAGAUAAUGAAAUGAUUGAAUUGCAUUCCGUCGACGCGACCAAAAUUCGACAUAUAAA
Molecule: non-coding RNA, 106 nt
Organism: Paramuricea clavata
Lineage: Eukaryota; Metazoa; Cnidaria; Anthozoa; Malacalcyonacea; Plexauridae
Source: the annotation of a GenBank genome assembly